AGUGAACGUUGGCGGCGUGGAUUAGGCAUGCAAGUCGAGCGAGAACCGUAGCAAUACGGGGACAGCGGCGAAAGGGACAGUAAUGUGUAGGUACCUACCCUCGGGUCCGGGAUAGCUGCGGGAAACUGCAGGUAAUACCGGAUGACAUCUCCGGAUCAAAGGUGUGAUUCCGCCCGGGGAGGGGCCUGCAUCCUAUUAGCUUGUUGGUGGGGUAACGGCCUACCAAGGCUACGAUGGGUAGCGGGUGUGAGAGCAUGACCCGCGUCAUUGGGACUGAGGCACUGCCCAGACACCUACGGGUGGCUGCAGUCGAGAAUCUUCGGCAAUGGGGGAAACCCUGACCGAGCGACGCCGCGUGCGGGAUGAAGGCCUUCGGGUUGUAAACCGCUGUCGUAGAGGAGGAAAUGCAGGGGGGUUCUCCCCUCUGUUUGACCUAUUCUAGGAGGAAGGACGGGCUAAGUUCGUGCCAGCCGCCGCAGUAA
RNAcentral lists this ribosomal RNA (482 nucleotides) under uncultured bacterium. RNAcentral's name for it is "partial 16S ribosomal RNA". It matches the Rfam family "Bacterial small subunit ribosomal RNA", at positions 28 to 523 of the family's 1533-position model. The record is from RNAcentral.